This 586-nucleotide ribosomal RNA is filed under the name uncultured bacterium. Its description in RNAcentral is "partial 16S ribosomal RNA". It matches the Rfam family "Bacterial small subunit ribosomal RNA", at positions 355 to 935 of the family's 1533-position model. The record is from RNAcentral.
UGGGGAAUUUUGGACAAUGGGCGAAAGCCUGAUCCAGCAAUGCCGCGUGUGUGAAGAAGGCCUUCGGGUUGUAAAGCACUUUUGUCCGGAAAGAAAUCCUUGGCUCUAAUACAGUCGGGGGAUGACGGUACCGGAAGAAUAAGCACCGGCUAACUACGUGCCAGCAGCCGCGGUAAUACGUAGGGUGCAAGCGUUAAUCGGAAUUACUGGGCGUAAAGCGUGCGCAGGCGGUUUGCUAAGACCGAUGUGAAAUCCCCGGGCUCAACCUGGGAACUGCAUUGGUGACUGGCAGGCUAGAGUAUGGCAGAGGGGGGUAGAAUUCCACGUGUAGCAGUGAAAUGCGUAGAGAUGUGGAGGAAUACCGAUGGCGAAGGCAGCCCCCUGGGCCAAUACUGACGCUCAUGCACGAAAAGGCGUGGGGGAGCAAACAGGAUUAGAUACCCUGGUAGUCCACGCCCUAAACGAUGUCAACUAGUUGUUGGGGGAUUCAUUUCCUUAGUAACGUAGCUAACGCGUGAAGUUGACCGCCUGGGGAGUACGGUCGCAAGAUUAAAACUCAAAUGAAUUGACGGGGUCAUAGCUGUUU